UGAUGAUCCUGAUUUUGCUUGUGAAUUAUUAUUAUUUUAUAAAAAAAUGCCUACAAAUUAAUAUUAUUCAAAGGAAAAUUACCGAAAUAAGAGCACUUUCCGAUAGUAAUAUAUUAUACUCUUUGUUUACCAUAUAAUCGUAGUGCGUCUUCAGCAGUCUAUAGAAUUAGAAUAUAGAGCAUCUUAAACAACUGUUCUCAAAUCUAAUGUAUAUCUUAUAUAUUUACAUAUUGUACCAUGAACACAAACUGAGAAUAUUGCGCUAAAUUUGAAACAGG
This is a long non-coding RNA of Bactrocera neohumeralis, 278 nucleotides long. RefSeq lists it as uncharacterized. The record is from RefSeq and is a predicted model, not a curated record. NCBI's taxonomy places the organism in Eukaryota, Metazoa, Arthropoda, Insecta, Diptera, Tephritidae. The transcript has 3 exons.